RNAcentral lists this ribosomal RNA (256 nucleotides) under uncultured bacterium. RNAcentral describes it as "partial 16S ribosomal RNA". It matches the Rfam family "Bacterial small subunit ribosomal RNA", at positions 524 to 776 of the family's 1533-position model. The record is from RNAcentral.
GACGUAGGUGGCGAACGUUAUCCGGAAUUAUUGGGCGUAAAGGGUGCGUAGAUGGCAUGAUAAGUUAUUAGUGGGAAAUCGAGGCUCAACCUCGUGGAAGCUGGUAAUACUGUUUUGCUUGAGUGCAGGAGAGGUUAACGGAACUCCAUGUGGAGCGGUAAAAUGCGUAGAUAUAUGGAAGAACAUCAAUAACGGCGAAGGCAGUUAACUAUUCUGCUACUGACAUUGAGGCACGAAAGCGUGGGGAGCAAAACGG